RNAcentral lists this ribosomal RNA (497 nucleotides) under uncultured bacterium. RNAcentral describes it as "partial 16S ribosomal RNA". It matches the Rfam family "Bacterial small subunit ribosomal RNA", at positions 28 to 506 of the family's 1533-position model. The record is from RNAcentral.
GAUGAACGCUGGCGGCGUGCCUAAUACAUGCAAGUCGAGCGAACAGACGAGGAGCUUGCUCCUCUGACGUUAGCGGCGGACGGGUGAGUAACACGUGGAUAACCUACCUAUAAGACUGGGAUAACUUCGGGAAACCGGAGCUAAUACCGGAUAAUAUAUUGAACCGCAUGGUUCAAUAGUGAAAGACGGUUUUGCUGUCACUUAUAGAUGGAUCCGCGCCGCAUUAGCUAGUUGGUAAGGUAACGGCUUACCAAGGCAACGAUGCGUAGCCGACCUGAGAGGGGGAUCGGCCACACUGGAACUGGGACCCGGUCCAAACCCCUACGGGAAGCAGCAGUAGGGAAACUUUCGGAAUUGGCGGAAGCCUGACGGAGCAACCGCCCGGGAGGUAAUAAGGGUUUCCGAUCGGAAAACCCUUUUAUUAAGGAAGAAAAAAUGUGUAAAGAACUUAUCCCCGCUUUGCGGUUCCUAAUCAGGAAGGCACGGCUUACUUCCGU